UACGAGGACGACGCUGGCGGCGUGCCUAACACAUGCAAGUCGAACGGACGAGGGGAGCUUGCUCCCCGAGUUAGUGGCGAACGGGUGAGUAACGCGUGAGAAACCUGCCUUUCAGUGGGGGACAACAGUUGGAAACGGCUGCUAAUACCGCAUAAUGUGCCGGGAGGGCAUCCUCCUGGUACCAAAGCUUUAUGUGCUGAAAGAUGGUCUCGCGUCUGAUUAGCUAGUUGGUGAGGUAACGGCUCACCAAGGCGACGAUCAGUAGCCGGUCUGAGAGGAUGAACGGCCACAUUGGGACUGAGAUACGGCCCAGACUCCUACGGGAGGCAGCAGUGGGGGAUAUUGCACAAUGGGGGAAACCCUGAUGCAGCAACGCCGCGUGAGGGAAGAAGGUUUUCGGAUUGUAAACCUCUGUUUUUAGUGAAGAAACAAAUGACGGUAGCUAAAGAGGAAGCCACGGCUAACUACGUG
Molecule: ribosomal RNA, 471 nt
Filed under: uncultured bacterium
Lineage: Bacteria
Description: bacterial SSU rRNA
Rfam family: Bacterial small subunit ribosomal RNA
Source: RNAcentral